This 501-nucleotide ribosomal RNA is filed under the name uncultured bacterium. RNAcentral describes it as "partial 16S ribosomal RNA". It matches the Rfam family "Bacterial small subunit ribosomal RNA", at positions 30 to 523 of the family's 1533-position model. The record is from RNAcentral.
AUUGAACGCUGGCGGCAGGCUUAACACAUGCAAGUCGAGCGGGCGAGGUUGCUUCGGUAACUGAGCUAGCGGCGGACGGGUGAGUAAUGCUUAGGAAUCCGCCUAUUAGUGGGGGACAACAUUCCGAAAGGGAUGCUAAUACCGCAUACGUCCUACGGGAGAAAGCAGGGGAUCAUUUGACCUUGCGCUAAUAGAUGAGCCUAAGUCGGAUUAGCUAGUUGGUGGGGUAAAGGCCUACCAAGGCGACGAUCUGUAGCGGGUCUGAGAGGAUGAUCCGCCACACUGGGACUGAGACACGGCCCAGACUCCUACGGGAGGCAGCAGUGGGGAAUAUUGGACAAUGGGGGGAAUCCUGAUCCAGCCAUGCCGCGUGUGUGAAGAAGGCCUUUUGGUUGUAAAGCACUUUAAGUGGGGAGGAGGCUUACCUGGUUAAUACCUGGGCUAAGUGGACGUUACCCACAGAAUAAGCACCGGCUAACUCUGUGCCAGCCGCCGCGGUAA